GUGAUCGCUUCAGCAGCACAUAUGCUAAAACUGGAAUGAUACAGAGAUUAGCAUGGCCCCUGCGCAAGGACGACAUGCAAAUUUGUGAAACGUUCCAUUUUUUU
Heterocephalus glaber (naked mole-rat) is the source of this 104-nucleotide small nuclear RNA. The record is from Ensembl. NCBI's taxonomy places the organism in Eukaryota, Metazoa, Chordata, Mammalia, Rodentia, Bathyergidae.